This 1540-nucleotide long non-coding RNA is filed under the name Mus spicilegus (steppe mouse). RNAcentral describes it as "lncRNA (ENSMSIG00000005310.1)". Lineage: Eukaryota; Metazoa; Chordata; Mammalia; Rodentia; Muridae. The record is from RNAcentral.
CCUAGCCAAGCUCCCCUUUUGGGUCACCUACAGCCCGUGGUCAGCGAAACCAGCUACUCCUCUGCACUCCAGGCCCUCUCUCUGAGUCUCCUCCUCCUCCACAUUCCGGAGUCCAGGCCCAGAGAGGAGGACUCAGGCCUUGUAGACCUUACCUCUCUCUAGCUGCUCGCUCUUCCCAGAUGAGACGUUCACCUUCCUGUGCUUCUGUCCCCUUUCCCAGAGGGAGAAACUGAGGCUUAUGAAUCCUUGACCAGGAUUCAGACUCAGCUUCAUGGGAUCUCAGGCUUGUGCUCGGCCAUCUUCCUAGCUGUAUGUCAUAAUGACUGUGAUCAACAGCUCAGCUAGCAUAGCCUGAAUCUUCUGGUAAUCACAAAUGCCUCCAGGAAUCAUGUUGUCAUGUUGAGGUUAUAGAUGUCGGGUGACUCUGAGGCUCGAGGAGAGGAAGACGAAGAUCUGAGCCCGCCAUGAGGGAUCUGAGCUGAGGUGAGAUCAGUCCGGAAGGAUGCACAUCACUGACUCCACAGGCUGUGUGGUAGGAGGGACUGUCCUGACCCAGUGCUGUCUGUCUGUCCUCAGGGGCCAACCUAACCAUCAGCUUUCUGCCUCAGUGGAGAUUCUGCCUGCCCACUUCCUUCCAAAGAGCAGGGUUUGGGGGCACACACGUUGGAUCACUCUCCAGAGGCAUCAGCAAUCAACCCUGUCGCUAUGCACUUGAUCCACGGUUGCUGCUGAGGAGUUCCUGGUUCAUCACGUGGCCGUGCUGAGGAGCCACAGAGAAGCCUCAUUCAAAGUGGAGCGCAAACAACUUGUAGCAAGCCUGAAAGUCGCUAUAAUUGCAGACUGUUGACACUGGUCAUGUGUACACACCUGUGCCCGUGUACAAGCAUAGACUCACCUGCAUGCUGUUAUCUUACCCACUGUGAGGUCGAGGCUAGUGCUGGGACACACACCAGCUCGUGUGAUCCAGCUUCCUUUUCUUUCUCCUCCCUCAGCCCCAAACCCUAAUAAUGAUCACUUAUUGAGUGCCUACUGUGUGGCAGGCAAGAUACCAGCCUGCUGAUUCAUCAAUUUGCACCAAGGUUGUAGGGGUAGAGGAGCUGACUUUCCAAACAUGGCCAAACCGAAUCGAUCCUGUCGAUUAUUAAUAUCUGUGGUAGGUGCAGGAAGGGAGUACUGAUAAAGGUGCUUCAUGUGUGCCUUAAUUUGUGAGGCAUAUAAUAUUGCAUGCUUUCUAUUUAAUCAUGGGUCAUUUAGUAAGUUGCCCCCAAAACUUUUGUGGAAUAAGACUUUGUGUAACUAAGUAACGACCGUUCAUUAUAAAUAAGUAUUGAGUGAUUGGACAUCAGUUAUUUCUGUAGGUAGAAACCUACAGAGGUUAUUGCAGAUGGAAAGAACUGGGUUCCAGGGCUAGAUUGCCGUUAGCCUAUAGAAUGGUUCUGUAUGUAUCAGGAAAGAAUGUCUGUUUGAGGGAUCGUAUCUCAGAGCAUAGCACAGCAUGGAUUUUAGCCCUUUUUACCUCAUUAUCCCAGGUGCUCUUGCU